This is a long non-coding RNA of Mastomys coucha (southern multimammate mouse), 2061 nucleotides long. RefSeq lists it as uncharacterized. Lineage: Eukaryota; Metazoa; Chordata; Mammalia; Rodentia; Muridae. The transcript is spliced from 2 exons. The record is from RefSeq and is a predicted model, not a curated record.
GUAUCUGUUCAAAGCAGUAAAACCCUGUAAGUAAGACAUACAGUGAGUUAAUGUACAAAAUUGUGAGUAGUUUUACGUGCACACACAUAUUACUAAAAUAUUGACAAAACCAAAAACACAACACAAAAAGACACAGAAUAAAAACAUGAACUAACCAAUAACACAAAAUGAACAGAAGGUGACUAAGCCUUGCUAGUCCAUACUGGAAAAUGUUUCAGUCCGUACUCGGGUUAUAGCUGCUGAGGGUUGUGUCCUUCCUUGCCAACACUGCCCCUGCAUGAAGUUCAGCUGGAGAAACGAGACAGCAGAUUCUUAGUCACACCUGUGUGGGGUGGCUGUGGUGACCUGGCCUUGCUUAGGUGACAGCAGGACUAUGGGCUUGGGUAAAGCUUUGGUGAGGGCAAUGAGCUCUGGGGUUUUGGGGAGUAGAGGAGACCUUGGUGGCACAGGCUGACCUCCGGGGUGACUGACAAGCGCCAAAGCCUUGGGGAAUGUGCAUGGACUGCUAGAGUGAUGCCGGCAAAGCCGUGGGAUGCUCAUGCCAACUUUAAGAUGAUGGGUACAGCCACUACCUUGGGCUAAAUAUAGCUGCACUCUUCCCACUGUAGAAAGAUUUUCAGAAUGUAGCACAGAUUCUGCCACGUGUUUAUUAUGAUUGGGUUCUACCAGUCCUGAAAUUUCCCUCUUCUUUAUAAAGAUGACCCACUCAUUGUUCAAAGGUGUGUUGUUCUAUUUUCAUGAAAAAUACUCUAAUUUUUCUACUAUUCUAGGUUUUUUGUUUUCUUAAGAUUUGCAAGGACUUGCUUUGUAAAACUGCUGAAAAUAAUGUGCACUCUGCAGGUGGAAUAUUAUGUGGAUGUCUGUUCCAUUCAUUUGAAGUUUACUUGUUUAUGUGUCUGGUUGACUGUUGGUGAGAACAAGAUGUUGAAGUCGCCUACCAGUAUUUCUAUAUGGAGGAUGAAAUGUCUGUUAUUGGCACAUGCCAUUGGAACCAUGUAAAGGAAGAUGGAAGACCACAGAAGCCUGAAAAGUAGAUUUAAAGUAGAAGGAUGGUUCUGUCAGGAGAAAGGUUCCUUCGUGCCUUCUGCUAAAGCACAAUUCUUCACUCGUGAAUGUAUGCCACAUGAACGCAGGUGUCCUGGAGGACUGAGGACGGUGCAUCAUCUCCUGGAGUUACAGAUAAAGUGACGACUGCAUGAAGACCAGGAAAUGAGCUUAACAUGUAGUAGUUUAAAGCAUAUGUAGAUUUUAUUAACAUACAGUGCAUAUCAGGUAGAACCAGAAUCUUACAACUCUCUAGUCUCUACUUACUGUCACGUAAAUACAUUUGAAAUGCAUUUGGAUGUGUUUUAGCCAACAGAAAAAUAAUUUUCCCCAUUUUAACAUGAUACAACAAGUAUAUAUUUUCACAUUUUUGUUAACUAUACUUAAAACACUUCUAAACAAUAGUUCUGGUUGAGUUAGAAAAGAACCCCCCAGCCCCCAAAACAAACUUCCCUUCAGCAGUACUUGUCUUCCGGUCUUUCACCUUGGUUAAAAAACAAACCAAGUGAUUAUGGCUCAGGUGGUGGUGUCAUCGGCGUUUAAAGGAACAUGGUCACAUUAUUACUACAUAGAAUUCAUAUGAAAUGUAGAUAUGCACCAAGAAGUUACACACACAGUAUACUGACAUUAGAAUUCACUCACCAUCUGCCCAACUCCCUAGUUCUAGAAGGCGAGAUUUCUAACGUGGGCUGUGUCUCAUUAGGCACGUGCUCGCGUACUAACAUACUGCUUCCUAUGCUCCUGAACCAGCAGGAACAUAGACAUUGAAAGGCAAACUUUUAUGGAGUUGAGGAGUUAUUGACUUGUUGAGGGUUUUUCUUCUGAGUUUCUGACAGAAGUUUGCACAGCCCAUCUCAUUUUGAGGCAGGAGUUGAAAGUGCUGUGGGGCCGAACUCGCAGCUAGGACACAUCCUGGCAUCACGUAGACCUUCUUAAUGAGAUCAGCCCUGAUGCCUGGGACAGAAAGGAACACAUGCCAGCAUUAUGAAAUACGCGCUAUCAGAACAGUUAGGGGAU